CCUCGGGGAAGACUCGCCGCUCCCUCCAUCUAGGGCUGGCCUCAACUCCCAUUUUUACAAGCCCUCCGA
Nothoprocta perdicaria is the source of this 69-nucleotide long non-coding RNA. RefSeq lists it as uncharacterized. The record is from RefSeq and is a predicted model, not a curated record. The transcript is spliced from 2 exons. NCBI's taxonomy places the organism in Eukaryota, Metazoa, Chordata, Aves, Tinamiformes, Tinamidae.